RNAcentral lists this ribosomal RNA (497 nucleotides) under uncultured bacterium. RNAcentral's name for it is "partial 16S ribosomal RNA". It matches the Rfam family "Bacterial small subunit ribosomal RNA", at positions 28 to 507 of the family's 1533-position model. The record is from RNAcentral.
GAUGAACGCUGGCGGCGUGCCUAAUACAUGCAAGUCGAGCGAACAGACGAGGAGCUUGCUCCUCUGACGUUAGCGGCGGACGGGUGAGUAACACGUGGAUAACCUACCUAUAAGACUGGGAUAACUUCGGGAAACCAGAGCUAAUACCGGAUAAUAUAUUGAACCGCAUGGUUCAAUAGUGAAAGACGGUUUUGCUGUCACUUAUAGAUGGAUCCGCGCCGCAUUAGCUAGUUGGUAAGGUAACGGCUUACCAAGGCAACGAUGCGUAGCCGACCUGAGAGGGUGAUCGGCCACACUGGAACUGAGACACGGUCCAGACUCCUACGGGAGGCAGCAGUAGGGAAUCUUCCGCAAUGGGCGAAAGCCUGACGGAGCAACGCCGCGUGAGUGAUGAAGGUCUUCGGAUCGUAAAACUCUGUUAUUAGGGGAGAACAAAUGUGUAAGUAACUAUGCACGUCUUGACGGUACCUAAUCAGAAAGCCACGGUUAACUACGUG